Molecule: ribosomal RNA, 736 nt
Filed under: uncultured organism
Description: SSU rRNA
Rfam family: Bacterial small subunit ribosomal RNA
Source: RNAcentral
GAUGAACGCUGGCGGCGUGCUUAACACAUGCAAGUCGAACGAACCUUCGGGUUAGUGGCGGACGGGUGAGUAACGCGUGGGAAUCUGCCCUCAGGGGGGGGAUAACGGUUGGAAACGACCGCUAAUACCCCAUAUGCCGAGAGGUGAAAUGAAUUUCGCCUGAGGAUGAGCCCGCGUCUGAUUAGCUUGUUGGUGAGGUAAUGGCUCACCAAGGCAUCGAUCAGUAGCUGGUUUGAGGGGAUGAUCAGCCACACUGGGACUGAGACACGGCCCAGACUCCUACGGGAGGCAGCAGUGGGGAAUUUUCCGCAAUGGGCGAAAGCCUGACGGAGCAACGCCGCGUGAGGGACGAAGGCCUCUGGGCUGUAAACCUCUUCUCCCAAGGAAGAGGAUAUGACGGUACUUGAGGAAUAAGCCACGGCUAAUUCCGUGCCAGCAGCCGCGGUAAUACGGGAGUGGCAAGCGUUAUCCGGAAUUAUUGGGCGUAAAGCGUCCGCAGGCGGCCUUUCAAGUCUGCUGUUAAAACGUGGAGCUUAACUCCAUCAUGGCAGUGGAAACUGAUUGGCUUGAGUAUGGUAGGGGCAGAGGGAAUUCCCGGUGUAGCGGAGAAAUGCGUAGAUAUCGGGAAGAACACCAGUGGCGAAGGUGCUCUGCUGGGCCAUUACUGACGCUCAUGGACGAAAGCCAGGGGAGCGAAAGGGAUUAGAUACCCCUGUAGUCCUGGCCGUAAACGAUG